RNAcentral lists this ribosomal RNA (254 nucleotides) under uncultured bacterium. RNAcentral's name for it is "partial 16S ribosomal RNA". It matches the Rfam family "Bacterial small subunit ribosomal RNA", at positions 524 to 777 of the family's 1533-position model. The record is from RNAcentral.
UACAGAGGGGGCAAGCGUUGUUCGGAAUUACUGGGCGUAAAGGGCGCGUAGGCGGCCUUCUAAGUCGAACGUGAAAUCCCCGGGCUCAACCCGGGAACUGCGUCCGAUACUGGAAGGCUUGAAUCCGGGAGAGGGAUGCGGAAUUCCAGGUGUAGCGGUGAAAUGCGUAGAUAUCUGGAGGAACACCGGUGGCGAAGGCGGCAUCCUGGACCGGCAUUGACGCGUGAGGCGCGAAAGCCAGGGAGCAAAGCGGG